Molecule: ribosomal RNA, 447 nt
Filed under: uncultured bacterium
Lineage: Bacteria
Description: partial 16S ribosomal RNA
Rfam family: Bacterial small subunit ribosomal RNA
Source: RNAcentral
GCCAGACUCCUACGGGAGGCAGCAGUGGGGGAUAUUGCACAAUGGGGGGAACCCUGAUGCAGCGACGCCGCGUGGGUGAAGGAGCGUUUCGGCGCGUAAAGCCCUAUCGGCAGGGAAGAAGGAGGACGGUACCUGACUAAGAAGCCCCGGCUAACUACGUGCCAACAGCCGCGGUAAUACGUAGGGGGCAAGCGUUAUCCGGAUUUACUGGGUGUAAAGGGGGCGCAGACGGCAGCGCAAGCCAGGAGUGAAAGCCCGGGGCCCAACCCCGGGACUGCUCUUGGAACUGCGCGGCUGGAGUGCAGGAGGGGCAGGCGGAAUUCCUGGUGUAGCGGUGAAAUGCGUAGAUAUCAGGAGGAACACCGGUGGCGAAGGCAGCCUGCUGGACUGCGACUGACGUUGAGGCCCGAAAGCGUGGGGAGCAAACAGGAUUAGAUACCCCUGUAC